GCGGAUUCUAAAAAACUAAAAUAAAGUAAAUUCUAAACAAUUAUGCUUUCAAGGUUAUAGUCUUUUAAUUAUUGGCAUAAUUUAUUUAAUACAAUAUUGAAUAAUAUCUUAAUAAGCGUUUUUAUAAUUUAUCCAUGUAGACAAUUAUUUUUUAACGAAUGUAUUAUAUAUUUCUACAAUCUCUAUUAUUUCUAUUGGAUGUAUACUGUAUAGAUGUAUUCUUCUUCUCCUUCAUGUUUAUCUCAACUGGUGGUCGGCCAACUUUGUCUUAAACGUUUACUUGAACCGAUCUCCCACAUACNAUUUCCAACAUCUUUACUGCUUCCGAUUCAUUUCUCUUUAACUGGCUUUCGGGACUUAUUCGAAGGAUUCUUGUCAACUACACAUUUGAUUUAAUUAAGCCUUACUUAUAGAAAUAGUACCAUGAUUUCAAAACACAAUAUCAAAUAGAUAAAAAUGGUAACAUUAUUUUGCUUUUUAAUAUAAUAAUUUAAAAUUUAAAAUAUAAAGUAGAAAAAAAAUAAUAAACAUACACUUAUAUGUUUAAAAUAUAAU
Molecule: non-coding RNA, 555 nt
Organism: Cinara cedri
Lineage: Eukaryota; Metazoa; Arthropoda; Insecta; Hemiptera; Aphididae
Source: the annotation of a GenBank genome assembly